Molecule: non-coding RNA, 1405 nt
Organism: Gasterosteus aculeatus aculeatus (three-spined stickleback)
Lineage: Eukaryota; Metazoa; Chordata; Actinopteri; Perciformes; Gasterosteidae
Source: RefSeq, a predicted model, not a curated record
AACAUAAUGCAACCAGGGAGAGUGUUGCUGUUUAGACGGACCUACAGAUUGAACACAGGCAACAUAGACACUCCAACAAAACACACACCUACACCCUUAAACCGCAGCAUCUUAAGCUGUCCUCUCUGUCUCCCAACACGCCAGGAAAUGUUUUUCUUCUCAGAGGCAGCCUAAGUGGAGUUGUCCACCGAAGCCAACCCUCUGUAAUUAACUGUCACAACGCUUCAAAACGUAACAAAUGGACUUUGUGUCAAGGAGGGCCCAUUAAUUUACUGGCCUCCGCUCGUCGAUCCAGAGCCUAUUAUCUCCAUUACGGUAGGGCUUUCAUGUCUGGGCAUCGCCUCCUGCUGAACCUUGAUCAUCUUUCUCUCUUUUGCUCAGAUUCCCUGGAACUUGCAGAAAGGCCUUGUGGGGAAUGUGGAUCACCACGUGCGGACGCUUGCUCCUCCUCAGCCACAUAAAAGCCCAGCUUGUGUUAAGCAGACUGCAGAGAGCCGGUGUGAAGACAGCCGGGCCCAAAGCUAAACGACUGUGGGAUUUCUCCUAACGUCAGUUAGAAACCCCCUCUGGUCAGCAAAACCUGCUCACGCAUGUCCAACUGUCUUGUUAGUCGGCCACCUGUGUGUAACGCGUGCCGGAUGUCCGGCCAUCCAGUCCGCAACGGAGAAAACGCACGCACAGGACCGCCUGAUGUUGUUGUGAAUGGGUUGUUUGCAUGAUUUGUGACACGGGCAAAGAGGGCAGCGCCCGCGCAUAUUUUACGGAGACAAAUUCAAGUGCAGGUGAAAUGGAAAACAACCCCAGAAAAUAGCCAACGGGGCAAAGUAAACAAGUCACCGGGGGGGUGACUUGUUUUGACAUACCAGGUCAAUUUAAGAGAAAAAAAAACAAUGCCACAAUCAAAAUGUUCAAUCUCAUUUUCAACAUAUUGAGUUGGUCAUGAUUACUUGAGGUAUUUAAUGUCCCUGGUACCUUUUUGUUUAGCUUUGAGUCAUGUCACUGACAGUUAUGUAAUUCAGCUUAAGCUGCAUUUCUGUUUAGUAUGUAGUGCAUUUUUGAAUGAAUUGAGCAUAAGAUUUAUAACACACUGUUGGUUGCAGUUGUUUUGUUAGAUCCUUGUCCUCCAACCAGGCAAACAAAUCUCUAAAACCCCUGAUCAUCCGCUCUUCCGAUACAAUAUCAGCUUGCAGUGACCACAGCCAUCAAUUUUUUUAUGCUGAUGUGACAGCUAUUGAUUAAAGUUGGGAGACUAUUUCAUUUCCGACUCCGAAGCUGACCACCUUUCUUGGACACGUACAAAUAAAUAUAAAUCAUGUUAACAUAAUCCAGAUAGGAAUUACUUUUGUUGCCACAAUGUUAUUGGGAUAAUAGUUUUGUACUAUAUAAAUACAACUUUUAGAAGACC